RNAcentral lists this ribosomal RNA (435 nucleotides) under uncultured bacterium. RNAcentral's name for it is "bacterial SSU rRNA". It matches the Rfam family "Bacterial small subunit ribosomal RNA", at positions 958 to 1392 of the family's 1533-position model. The record is from RNAcentral.
AACGCGAAGAACCUUACCUGACCUUGACAUCCCUCUGACAGACCCGUAAUGGGGUUUUACCUUCGGGACAGAGGAGACAGGUGGUGCGUGGUUGUCGUCAGCUCGUGUCGUGAGAUGUUGAGUUAAGUCCCGCAACGAGCGCAACCCUUAUCCUUAGUAGCCAGCAGGUAGAGCUGGGCACUCUAGGGAGACUGCCGGGGAUAACCCGGAGGAAGGUGGGGAUGACGUCAAAUCAUCAUGCCCCUUAUGGCCAGGGCUACACACGUGCUACAAUGACGUAAACAAAGGGAAGCGACCUCGUGAGAGUAAGCAAAUCCCAAAAAUAACGUCUCAGUUCGGAUUGUAGUCUGCAACUCGACUACAUGAAGCUGGAAUCGCUAGUAAUCGCGAAUCAGAAUGUCGCGGUGAAUACGUUCCCGGGUCUUGUACACACCG